CCCUUAGAUGUCCUGGGCCGCACGCGCGCUACACUGAACAGUUCAACAAGUCUUAACCUUGGCCGAUAGGUCUGGGUAAUCUUUGAACGCUGUUCGUGAUUGGGAUAGACCUUUGCAAUUAUUCAUCUUCAACGAGGAAUUCCUAGUAAACGCAAGUCAUCAGCUUGCAUUGAUUACGUCCCUGCCCUUUGUACACACCGCCCGUCGCACCUACCGAUUGAAUGGUCCGGUGAAAUUCUCGGACGCGGACUAGCGAUGUUAAUUCGGAGCUUGACUGUGAAAGUUAAUUAAACCUUACCAUUUAGAGGAAGGUGAANUCGUAACA
RNAcentral lists this ribosomal RNA (325 nucleotides) under uncultured eukaryote. Its description in RNAcentral is "partial 18S ribosomal RNA". It matches the Rfam family "Eukaryotic small subunit ribosomal RNA", at positions 1470 to 1796 of the family's 1831-position model. The record is from RNAcentral.